RNAcentral lists this small RNA (84 nucleotides) under Xanthomonas oryzae pv. oryzae. RNAcentral's name for it is "sX9". It matches the Rfam family "Xanthomonas sRNA sX9". The record is from RNAcentral. Lineage: Bacteria; Pseudomonadati; Pseudomonadota; Gammaproteobacteria; Lysobacterales; Lysobacteraceae.
AGGUACCACGCGUCCACUGCGGUUCUGAGCGCGCUGUCCGCGCCCACCUGACAGCUGCUCGCGACGUUGUGUUNUGUGUUAGCC